This 2834-nucleotide long non-coding RNA is filed under the name Eucalyptus grandis. RNAcentral describes it as "long non-coding RNA (EGRA_LNC002132)". The record is from RNAcentral. Lineage: Eukaryota; Viridiplantae; Streptophyta; Magnoliopsida; Myrtales; Myrtaceae.
GACUGCUAGAGUCUGAUGCCAAAAAUUGAUCUCAGUAUCCAAUCAUCAAAUCCAGAGCUCUGGUUAGAACUGUCCCAAUGCUAAUAAAAUCAUCACCGUCUGUCCUCAAUUCAACAUGUGGUGCCAGUUUGCCGACACAUAUGCCUCUUGGUCUUCGAACUGAAUUGAGAUAUGUUCCAACAUGAAAAUGAAGGGGCUGGUAGGAAAAAUGGAAAUGUGGGUCAUACAGAGUCAUGUAUGUUAGCAAAGAACACGUCUCUGUUAUCCCUGCAGAUUGAGGGAAAAAAAGGGAAGAAGAAAAAAUAGUAUAAUCAGCAGAGUAGUUCAAGGCACAUUGCUAGCAGGGACUACUCUAAUUAGCAUUUAAGUAGCGACUCUAACUGCAUAUAAGCGUAGAAGAUACACACCAUAGGCCAAGAGAAUAUUCUUAGCUCUUGGGAAGAAGUAGCCAGCUUCUUUUUCACGUAGUCUUUUCCUUUCCACGGUCCUUUCUCCCCGAGGACACUUGGAAUUAAACAAAAGUACCACUAGAAGAGCACAAUUUUGAACGUAGACCAUGUAGGUGGCCGAUGCUUUCUACACAUGAUCUUCAGUAUUCAAAUUGCUUGUUAAAGAUCUUCUUUGUAGAUAACCUUAGAAAGUAUAUUCGAUCAGCAAACUUUGCUGGAACUUGGAAAGUUGGAAAAGAUGUACAUCAUUCUCACUGUAACCACAUAUACCCAAAGAAAUCUGCUGAGUAGCGGAGUGCAAGACAACCUUUGAAACUAGAAACCAAUAUCACAUAAGUAAUCAUCAAAUUUGAGAACCCUUCAGAAAUUGCCAAGAAAGAUGGACAAAGAAGCUUUUUCUAGGAAGUCUUGUUCAGAAGUAAGGUCAGUAAAGUAUCUUAGGUGUCUACCAAAGAAAGAGUAUCUUAGGUAACAGGCAAUCAAGCCAAAAGAAAGUAGUAUAUAUUUACAAAUCUGGUGCGGUUUGCUUUUUGACAAAAUUGAUAUGAUUGAAACUUUUUUAAUGGGUAAUCGAACCAAAAAAAGAGCCAUCUGGUAUCAGUUUUUAUGAUUGAGACUUCAGAGUAGAUAAUAAAACUACAAAAAGCCAGUUCUAUAUCUCCAUGGGUGUAUGGGUGUGCUUGCACCUUCAUCCAUCUCUAAAUAGGAUCGAUCACUUCACUGAAGAGUAAAAAACCAAUCUUUCCCAAAAAAUUACCCCUUGAAGACCGCAAAAAUACUUGUUAUUGGCAAUAAGAGGAAGUAAAGACUACACUGGGGAUGAAGCAUACUAUAACAGGACCAUCACAAGCCCAGGAGGUAGUCAGUAGUUGAAAAGGAACUCAGAGGAGUUAUUGGAUGCAUAUCUAGCAUGCCAUAGUUGAUAUUAGCACGUGAAAAAGAAAAGCUGGAUCAAUGAUUUUUAAGAAUAUCAUGCUUUUGUACAUUGCGUGAUGAGUAACAUAAAUUUUUUUCAUCCUUCAACAACUUAAGACUUCAAGAAAGUGACAUAACAUUCACAUUUCUUGAAUAUGGCGAAGGGAGAGAGCCCAAGGGAACGUACCAUUAUAGAGAAGGUAUACCAUCCUUGUGGAUCUCAGUACAUCAGCUAAUAAAACUCCCAUCUGUCACCAAAAUCGCUGGGGCUAACAUCACCGAUGUAGCUUCCUUUGCACUCUACAGUCAAGAUUUUAGAAUGAAUUAACACCAUUGAAUAGAUGUACACAUCAUAAAACAACCACCAUCAUCAUGACGUUUAGCUGCUUGCCCCUACUUUCUCAAUUUCUGGCAAACAAAAGAGACGACUAAGGCACUGAGAUCUGCGAAUUUCAGCAACUAAGGUACUGAGAUUGGAUAAUUUGUCCUCCGACCUAAUAUGAUAAAAAAGACCUCAUCAUCCUUUCUGUUCUUCCACUUCCACGAAGUCAUCACCCACGGUUACACUUCCCAUGCACUAAUUGCAACAACUUUAGUAUGCCUCGCUCUUAGGUUCCAUUACACAGCAUUCCAUUCAUGCAGGGGUCUAAUUAAGAUUUCACUGGAGCAUCAAAAGGUAAAGAUUAUAAAAUAUUUAGUUAUUCAUCAUACUAAAAUUGUCGAGAAGUCGGCUCUGCAUGGACUGAUGUCUUGCCACUCUUAUGUACCUAAAAUUUGACAAGUCAUUUUUCAAUAUCGAACAGGAAUUCUUGUUCUAUCCAAUUUAUGCAUUCACAGAUGCAUAAUUGCCAAUACAGAGGACUUAACCCCCUUCACUGAUUAGUUCUGCAGAACUCGACUCACCCAUCUGUAGUUUAGAGGAAGAAAAAAGGAGAGAAGGAAUCAUAGCUCACGCUAGUAAGAAAAGAAAUGGAUGAUCGAUUCAUCAAGGCAAGAAGUGAAGCUGAUGAUCGACACUGCAACAUCGAUUCUAGUCACCUCAAAAAUCAUUCACCGGCUUUCUGUCCCAUUCCAAGUUUUGCCCAACUACAUCGAUCCAUCGAAGACUAGAGUUUGUCAUGACAGGACAGAGACGUUCUUUGGCAGCAAGAUUCUGUCAAAACCCACAACUCACAGGACAAGAUAAUCUGCCGAACUAUUUGCACCUCCUACGGAUGAAUGAUGGGACAAAUGGAAAAUUUGGACCUGUUAUACGCGGAGACUUCGAAGCAGAUCACGAGCAAGCCCAGAAACGGCUUCCACGAACUGGGUUUCGGCCAUUCGGCGGCCGCCGGCGACGGCGACCGGGGAAUUCCGCCUCGCGGUGGCGAUGCGAGACGACCGCUCGGAGUCGGAAGGCAAAUUGGGGGAGGCGGGUCUUGCGUCAGUGUUGAAGAAAAGCGUGGGAGACGUGUCAUGCGUGGAUUGGCC